This is a non-coding RNA of Karstenula rhodostoma CBS 690.94, 121 nucleotides long. NCBI's taxonomy places the organism in Eukaryota, Fungi, Ascomycota, Dothideomycetes, Pleosporales, Didymosphaeriaceae. The record is from the annotation of a GenBank genome assembly.
AGCUGAGUGGCGCAGCGGAAGCGCGCCGGGCUCAUAACCCGGAGGGUACGUGACACUCAAUCAUCUACAGGAUCGUCCACUAACAGCAAUACAGACCUACGAUCGAAACGUAGCUCAGCUA